UACAGAGGGUGCGAGCGUUAAUCGGAAUUACUGGGCGUAAAGCGCGCGUAGGCGGCUUUGCAAGUCGGGGUGUGAAAUCCCCAGGCUUAACCUGGGAACUGCAUUCGAGACUGCAUUGCUAGAGUAUGGGAGAGGGAAGUGGAAUUUCCGGUGUAGCGGUGAAAUGUGUAGAUAUCGGAAGGAACAUCAGUGGCGAAAGCGACUUCCUGGACCAAUACUGACGCUCAUGUGCGAAAGCGUGGGAGCAAACAGG
This 253-nucleotide ribosomal RNA is filed under the name uncultured bacterium. RNAcentral's name for it is "partial 16S ribosomal RNA". It matches the Rfam family "Bacterial small subunit ribosomal RNA", at positions 524 to 776 of the family's 1533-position model. The record is from RNAcentral.